UCCCAGAUGGCUUAGUUGGUAAAGAAUCUGCCUGCAGUGCAGGAGACCUGGGUUCAAUUCCUGGGUCAGGAA
This is a non-coding RNA of Bos taurus (domestic cattle), 72 nucleotides long. The record is from Rfam. Lineage: Eukaryota; Metazoa; Chordata; Mammalia; Artiodactyla; Bovidae.